AGCUCACUGGUCGAGUGAUCCUGCGCCGAAGAUUUCCGGGGCUAAAACUUACUACCGAAGCUACGGCAUCAGUAAUGAUGGGUAGGGGAGCUUCCCAUACGGGUUGAAGCAUGACCGUAAGGACAUGUGGACAGUAUGGGAGUGAGAAUGUUGGCAUGAGUAGCGAGAUGUGGGUGAGAAUCCCACAGGCCGUAAACCCAAGGUUUCCAGGGGAAGGUUCGUCCGCCCUGGGUUAGUCGGGACCUAAGCUGAGGCCGAAAGGCGUAGGUGAUGGACAACAGGUUGAUAUUCCUGUACUACCGAUAACCGUUUGAGAGAAGGGAUGACACAGUAGGAUAAGCUAAGCACACUGUUGGUUAUGUGUGCCCAAGCAUUGAGGCAGUCAAAGUAGGCAAA
RNAcentral lists this ribosomal RNA (396 nucleotides) under Clostridioides difficile. Its description in RNAcentral is "bacterial LSU rRNA". It matches the Rfam family "Bacterial large subunit ribosomal RNA", at positions 1139 to 1540 of the family's 2925-position model. The record is from RNAcentral. Lineage: Bacteria; Bacillati; Bacillota; Clostridia; Peptostreptococcales; Peptostreptococcaceae.